UAGGGAAUCUUCGGCAAUGGGGGGAACCCUGACCGAGCAACGCCGCGUGAGUGAAGAAGGUUUUCGGAUCGUAAAGCUCUGUUGUUAAGGAAGAACGAGUGUGAGAAUGGAAAGUUCAUGCUGUGACGGUACUUAACCAGAAAGGGACGGCUAACUACGUGCCAGCAGCCGCGGUAAUACGUAGGGCGCAAGCGUUAUCCGGAAUUAUUGGGCGUAAAGAGCUUGUAGGCGGUUCGUCGCGUCUGGGGUGAAAGCCCAUCGCUUAACGGUGGGUUUGCCACGGGUACGGGCGGGCUAGAGUGCAGGAGGGGGGACUGGAAUUCCCGGUGUAACGGUGAAAUGUGUAGAUAUCGGGAAGAACACCAAUGGCGAAGGCAGGUCUCUGGGCUGUUACUGACGCUGAGAAGCGAAAGCGUGGGGAGCGAACAGG
This 430-nucleotide ribosomal RNA is filed under the name Verrucomicrobiota bacterium. RNAcentral's name for it is "Verrucomicrobia bacterium partial 16S ribosomal RNA". It matches the Rfam family "Bacterial small subunit ribosomal RNA", at positions 355 to 776 of the family's 1533-position model. Lineage: Bacteria; Pseudomonadati; Verrucomicrobiota. The record is from RNAcentral.